UCCCUGGUGGCCUAGUGGUUAGGACUCAGUGCUUCCACCUCUGUGGCCCAAGUUCAGUCCCUGGUCUGGGAA
This 72-nucleotide transfer RNA is filed under the name Sus scrofa (pig). It matches the Rfam family "tRNA". Rfam says of the family: Transfer RNA (tRNA) molecules are approximately 80 nucleotides in length. Their secondary structure includes four short double-helical elements and three loops (D, anti-codon, and T loops). Further hydrogen bonds mediate the characteristic L-shaped molecular structure. tRNAs have two regions of fundamental functional importance: the anti-codon, which is responsible for specific mRNA codon recognition, and the 3' end, to which the tRNAs corresponding amino acid is attached (by aminoacyl-tRNA synthetases). tRNAs cope with the degeneracy of the genetic code in two manners: having more than one tRNA (with a specific anti-codon) for a particular amino acid; and 'wobble' base-pairing, i.e. permitting non-standard base-pairing at the 3rd anti-codon position. Lineage: Eukaryota; Metazoa; Chordata; Mammalia; Artiodactyla; Suidae. The record is from Rfam by way of RNAcentral.